UUGUUUCGGGGUUAAUUUUUCAGUACUUUGUAAGAUAUAACUCUUUUUUUUCUCCUCUCAUAUAUUCAGUGGGUAAUUCUAACACAUAUUUUCGCAGCCUUUAAGUCCAAGUCUUAAAUAUUGUGCAGCAGUUAACUUCAUUAAAAGAAGAUAGUGUACUUUUACUGACUUAUAAUUCAGCUUCUGAUCCCUGCUACAAAAAUGACCACAUUUCUUCUUUCCGAGAGAUUCAUUUUCUUGUAUGUAUUUCAGAAUAGGAAAUUACACUGGAUUUAUAACAUACUAAAUACUGUCAAGUCCCUGUUGAUCCCCAGGGAUUAAAGUUAUUUGUUUUGUGCUUUUAACCUCGGUUCUAGCCUUGACUAUCUUUUAACAACUGUAGCACUGAAUCAAAAAGAAAAAGCACUUCAAAAAUACAUUUAGUUUCAAGUCUUAUUAAUCUAUGCAUUUUUUAUUUAUUACAGGUUUAUUCUUCAUACUCUCGCCACAUCUUGAUUUGGCUCGUUGUUCCUUUUUCCUAUGCAUAUACUUCUUUGAGAGUUUGAUCUAAAGAGGCAUAGAGCAUGGGAAAAUGGGGCGACUGAGGUACUUCGCCAUUCGUUCCAAACAGCGCUGUCGAGAUGACUAUCGAAAUGUAUGGAGGAAAUAGACAUACAAAGAAAUGAAAGAAGUAAGAGGAACAGAGUCACAGACUGCAGAAGUGCAACACGAAACCUCUCUUGGACUCAGUUUUCACAGACUGCACUGCAUCUUUGAAGAGAAACUGGAGAUUUUUAUUUUCCUGUUAACAUUUUGUUAUAUUUCUGUUCAGUUUAUUUUGUUUAGUCUAAAAAAAAGAUGUAUCAUAUCAGUUCUGUGGAAAAUAUUAUGGAACCAUGUAGCUGAAUAUACUGUGUGUCAAAUAAAAACCCAAAGUUUCACACACUGUUCAGAAGUUUGUGUUACCCUAUACAACAAAUUCUAACAAGGUUUGCAAAACUCCAUGCAUGGAGAAAGUAAUACUGUGUACACAACCAGCCAUUUUACUUGCUUAUUAUUGUGCCAUGUUAUUCUAGAUGAAAUAAAUAUCUUAAGAUGUUGUAAUA
Meleagris gallopavo (turkey) is the source of this 1085-nucleotide non-coding RNA. The record is from RefSeq and is a predicted model, not a curated record. Lineage: Eukaryota; Metazoa; Chordata; Aves; Galliformes; Phasianidae.